CAGCAGAGGAACGGGCUGACAACAAGAAGGAAGUGGCAGUGUCUUCUAAGGACCCAGAGAACCAUGUUCAGCAUGCAUGACUGAGCGCUCUACUGUCUCAAAGAUGGUGGGAACGGAGUCUGCCGUUUCAAUCUCCUUGUCACUGCUGAAGACAGUAACUGUGAAGGCGACCUUUACCGGACCUGUGGCAUGGUUUAUUGGAGCUGUGGUGGCGGUGGUCAUUGUUGGUGCUGUCACUUAUUAUAUCA
Long non-coding RNA from Dipodomys ordii (Ord's kangaroo rat), 248 nucleotides. RefSeq lists it as uncharacterized. The record is from RefSeq and is a predicted model, not a curated record. NCBI's taxonomy places the organism in Eukaryota, Metazoa, Chordata, Mammalia, Rodentia, Heteromyidae. The transcript has 3 exons.